CUCUCAGCUGACUUAAUCUGAAAUUGCCGCAGCUUCGAUCCUCGUGAUCAGAAUCUUGCUGCUUUUACCAGCCACACCCACCGGACGUCGACCAGCAUAAGAGAGACAAGGAAGCUAUCAAAACCAUCCCUGUGAAAGAUCUUUGUCCACUGCUGACACUCUUGUAAGAUCUAGGCAAAGAGUGAUAAAACUCCAACGCCCCAAGGUUGUCUUUGUGGCCCUCAUCCUUCUUCAGCUCCAUCUCCUGAAGAUCAGCA
Molecule: long non-coding RNA, 257 nt
Filed under: Pogona vitticeps (central bearded dragon)
Lineage: Eukaryota; Metazoa; Chordata; Lepidosauria; Squamata; Agamidae
Description: lncRNA (ENSPVIG00000002105.1)
Source: RNAcentral